RNAcentral lists this long non-coding RNA (241 nucleotides) under Capsella rubella. RNAcentral describes it as "long non-coding RNA (CRUB_LNC004946)". Lineage: Eukaryota; Viridiplantae; Streptophyta; Magnoliopsida; Brassicales; Brassicaceae. The record is from RNAcentral.
AACGAUGUACCACACCAAGUGCUAACAGCUCAAUUGGUAAAGAUCUCUGACAAAAUCUUAGAGGUCGCCGGUUCGAGUAGCGCUUGGGAUGAAACCAUAUAACAUGCUCUGGUUUCGGGCAUGAGAGGAUGUAUGGGUUUCGGUCCAAAACCUCUUUGAUUAUUCAAAAAAAAAAAAAAAACUAUGUACCACAACAUUAGCUCUUCUCAGCACUUUUAGUUAAAGUUGUUUUCCAAAUCAG